CGGGGCGUGGCUCAGUUUGGUUAGAGCGCUCGGUUCGGGACCGAGAGGUCGGCGGUUCGAAUCCGCCCGCCCCGACCA
Molecule: transfer RNA, 78 nt
Filed under: Candidatus Omnitrophota bacterium
Lineage: Bacteria; Pseudomonadati; Candidatus Omnitrophota
Description: Candidatus Omnitrophica bacterium tRNA-Pro
Rfam family: tRNA
About the family: Transfer RNA (tRNA) molecules are approximately 80 nucleotides in length.
Source: RNAcentral